This 249-nucleotide ribosomal RNA is filed under the name Chimarra feria. RNAcentral describes it as "partial 28S large subunit ribosomal RNA". It matches the Rfam family "Eukaryotic large subunit ribosomal RNA", at positions 649 to 860 of the family's 3401-position model. Lineage: Eukaryota; Metazoa; Arthropoda; Insecta; Trichoptera; Philopotamidae. The record is from RNAcentral.
CCGUCUUGAAACACGGACCAAGGAGUCUAGCAUGCGCGCGAGUCAUAGGGAACUAAUAAACCCUGAGGCGCAAUGAAAGUGAAAGGCCUCACGGCCGAAGGGACGAUGGCGAACGGUCAGCCGUUCCGGCCCGCAGUCCCGGGGCGUUCGGAGAAAUGCCUCCGUGCGAUUAUCCGGACGCACCGAGAGCGCUCACGCUGGGACCCGAAAGAUGGUGAACUAUGCCUGGUCAGGUCGAAGUCAGGGGGA